GACGAACGCUGGCGGCGUGCUUAACACAUGCAAGUCGAACGGAAAGGCCCUGCUUUUGUGGGGUGCUCGAGUGGCGAACGGGUGAGUAACACGUGAGUAACCUGCCCUUGACUUUGGGAUAACUUCAGGAAACUGGGGCUAAUACCGGAUAGGAGCUCCUGCUGCAUGGUGGGGGUUGGAAAGUUUCGGCGGUUGGGGAUGGACUCGCGGCUUAUCAGCUUGUUGGUGGGGUAGUGGCUUACCAAGGCUUUGACGGGUAGCCGGCCUGAGAGGGUGACCGGCCACAUUGGGACUGAGAUACGGCCCAGACUCCUACGGGAGGCAGCAGUGGGGAAUAUUGCACGAUGGGCGGAAGCCUGAUGCAGCAACGCCGCGUGCGGGAUGACGGCCUUCGGGUUGUAAACCGCUUUCGCCUGUGAAGAAGAGUGAGUGACGGUAAUGGGUAAAGAAGCACCGGCUAACUACGUG
Molecule: ribosomal RNA, 468 nt
Filed under: uncultured bacterium
Lineage: Bacteria
Description: partial 16S ribosomal RNA
Rfam family: Bacterial small subunit ribosomal RNA
Source: RNAcentral